GGGAGAGCUGGAGUCCCGUGGUAGAAAGCCCAGAGGCUCGGGGCCAGGAGCUUCUGGGAACCGGGCUAGGUUCGCACCCACAUCCUGAGCAGUGGACACGCAGGAACCGUUUUGCAGGUGAGGGCGAUGGGCAGAUUCAGUCUGGUGCCUUGGGGUGUCCUGGGCCUGUCCCCAGCCUAACCCCCCAGGCCCCCGUCACCUGCAAGCCAGUGACUGGGCUGCUCUGGAGGGCAAAGUGUGAGGAGGAAGGAAGCCGGGGGUGGAAGUGAAGCCGGCUGGUGUUGGCAGUGGGCGGAGCUGAGCUGCCAGCGCUGAGAGAAAGAGGGUGGGGCUGCUGGGAAGGAAGGGGCCCCGCCACGCCGCUGGUUAGCUCGGCACCGGCUCGGCUCGGCACCAGUGCUCCUGGUGGCGCGGCUUCGGCGCUGGACCCGGAGGCAGGGCACAUGGGCCAUGGCUGCCGCCACAUCAGUGGUCAGAUGGAAGCACAGGAUUUGCAGAAAUAAGGGGGAAAGGGUGCAGUUGUGAUAUUAGAGGGUCAGAAUAUGCCUCUCAAA
Long non-coding RNA from Leopardus geoffroyi (Geoffroy's cat), 554 nucleotides. RefSeq lists it as uncharacterized. Lineage: Eukaryota; Metazoa; Chordata; Mammalia; Carnivora; Felidae. The transcript is spliced from 2 exons. The record is from RefSeq and is a predicted model, not a curated record.